This 479-nucleotide ribosomal RNA is filed under the name uncultured amoeba. RNAcentral describes it as "SSU rRNA". The stretch from base 1 to 375 matches the Rfam family "Eukaryotic small subunit ribosomal RNA", at positions 755 to 1116 of the family's 1831-position model. The record is from RNAcentral.
CCGUUAAAAAGUUUAAUUUUGGGCUCAUCCAGUUUAUCAGCCACCGAAUACUUAGCAUGGGAUAAUGGAAUAGGACCCUGUCCUCCUAUUUUCAGUUGGUUUUGGCAGCGCGAGGACUAGGGUAAUGAUUAAUAGGGAUAGUUGGGGGCAUUAAUAUUUAAUUGUCAGAGGUGAAAUUCUUGGAUUUAUGAAAGAUUAACUUCUGCGAAAGCAUCUGCCAAGGAUGUUUUCAUUAAUCAAGAACGAAAGUUAGGGGAUCGAAGACGAUCAGAUACCGUCGUAGUCUUAACCAUAAACGAUGCCGACCAGCGAUUAGGAGACGUUGAAUACAAAACACCACCAUCGGUUGCGGUCGUCCUUGGCGUCUCGGUUUCGGCCGGGGCGCGGGGAUGGCUUAGCCCGGUGGCCCGGUGAAUGACUCCCCUAGCAGCUUGUGAGAACAACCUGCCCCCAAACACCAACCCAACAACAAAACCCCC